This 225-nucleotide ribosomal RNA is filed under the name uncultured Streptococcaceae bacterium. Its description in RNAcentral is "partial 16S ribosomal RNA". It matches the Rfam family "Bacterial small subunit ribosomal RNA", at positions 114 to 334 of the family's 1533-position model. The record is from RNAcentral. Lineage: Bacteria; Bacillati; Bacillota; Bacilli; Lactobacillales; Streptococcaceae.
CGCGUAGGUAACCUGCCUGGUAGCGGGGGAUAACUAUUGGAAACGAUAGCUAAUACCGCAUAAUAGCAGUUGUUGCAUGACAACUGUUUAAAAGGUGCAAUUGCAUCACUACCAGAUGGACCUGCGUUGUAUUAGCUAGUUGGUGGGGUAACGGCUCACCAAGGCGACGAUACAUAGCUGACCUGAGAGGGUGAUCGGCCACACUGGGACUGAGACACGGCCCAG